This 329-nucleotide unclassified non-coding RNA is filed under the name soil metagenome. RNAcentral's name for it is "partial contains 5.8S ribosomal RNA, internal transcribed spacer 2, and large subunit ribosomal RNA". The stretch from base 1 to 120 matches the Rfam family "5.8S ribosomal RNA", at positions 35 to 154 of the family's 154-position model. The record is from RNAcentral.
GAUGAAGAACGUAGCUAAAUGCGAUAAGUAAUGUGAAUUGCAGAAUUCAGUGAAUCAUCGAAUCUUUGAACGCACAUUGCGCCCCCUGGUAUUCCGGGGGGCAUGCCUGUUCGAGCGUCAUUACAACCCUCAAGCUCUGCUUGGUGUUGGGCCCCGCCGCCCCGGCGGGCCCUAAAAUCAGUGGCGGUGCCGUCCGGCUCCGAGCGUAGUAAUUCUUCUCGCUCUGGAGGUCCGGGUGUGUGCUCGCCAGCAACCCCCAAUUUUUUUCAGGUUGACCUCGGAUCAGGUAGGGAUACCCGCUGAACUUAAGCAUAUCAAUAAGCGGAGGA